CGUGAGAUGUUUGGGUUAAGUUCCCGCAACGAGCGCAACCCUUGUCCUUUGUUGCCAGCGGGUAAAGCCGGGAACUCAAAGGAGACUGCCAGUGACAAACUGGAGGAAGGCAGGGAUGACGUCAAGUCAUCAUGGCCCUUACGGUCAGGGCUACACACGUGCUACAAUGGGGCGUACAGAGGGAAACGAUACCGCGAGGUGGAGUGGAACCCAAAAAGCGUCCCUAAGUUCGGAUUGGAGUCUGCAACUCGACUCCAUGAAUCGGAAUCGCUAGUAAUCG
RNAcentral lists this ribosomal RNA (280 nucleotides) under uncultured bacterium. RNAcentral's name for it is "partial 16S ribosomal RNA". It matches the Rfam family "Bacterial small subunit ribosomal RNA", at positions 1066 to 1344 of the family's 1533-position model. The record is from RNAcentral.